CACAGGGAUUUCUUCAUCCCAACAUGCAGAGUAUACUGUGUGAAUAACAAGACUAGGAAUUGGCCCUUAUUCUUCAGCUGUUUUUUCCUAGUCAGAAUCAAGAAAAGGGACUGCUAGUGAUGUCAUAAUUGUAACAUGCCUCCAAGGGAGCCCAGAAGAUCUCUUCCUGGUGGUGUAGUAGGACACUCAGGCACAACAAAAAAGGCAUGUGAAAUCAAAAGUUGUUCAAAUUGGCAAAUGAGAGAUCCAGUGAAGUAAGUAAUGAGUGUGAGACUUUCCAUAACUGCAGUCACAGUAGAGUUUUUGGAUGAAAGUGACCCAGUGUGAGAGAUCAGGGCAGAGUAAUGGCUCCUGUAUAGAUCAAAACACUUAUUUUAUCAUCUGCCACAUCAAGGACCAUCCAGGGCUCCUGAAUGGAGAUAAUCAUCUCAUUGAGGGGAGCUACCAGAAUCCCUGGGCUGCUUCAGACAUCCAACAAAGCCAUCUCCAGAGCAGAAGUCCCGCUUCCCCUUUGAGACUGAUUGAGCAUCUAUAAAGCCUAAGAGGUUGGCUGCUUGGAAAUGACCACCAUAAUAAAUAGUUUGUAACAGGGUAUGGGCUACCAAGGCCUAAGCUGAAGGGGAUCCUGGAGGAAAAAAAGAAACUCCUGGAGGUGCAAAAAGGAGGAAAUGGAAUUUGGCAGAGUGGAAAAUGCCAUAUGGGUCAGGACAUGAAGGCCUAGAGGUGGGAGCAUUUCUGAAGGUGACUUUUUUUGGACAUGAGUAAAGUGAAAGCAGAAGAACACAAACCCUUUCUUGCUUUUUGGCAACUACCAUAAAGUUGGGGUGAGUCUGAUGAUUCCAUUUGACACAGGCAACAGCUAGUUUGGACAAUGUUUCCCUUGCAAUUUGAACCCUAUUUGUUUAAGAUCUCUCUUUGAGAUGCUCCAGGAGCCCUCUGAAACAACCCAAAAUUAACUUGAGGUUUAAAAAAAUUUUUUUUUUUUUUAGUUAGAAUUUUAUGUUUGGGAAUUCUGUCAAAUAU
RNAcentral lists this long non-coding RNA (1023 nucleotides) under Ovis aries (sheep). Its description in RNAcentral is "lncRNA (ENSOARG00000026346.1)". Lineage: Eukaryota; Metazoa; Chordata; Mammalia; Artiodactyla; Bovidae. The record is from RNAcentral.